ACCUCAUUGGUGCAGUAGGCAGCGCGUCAGUCUCAUAAUCUGAAGGUCGUGAACUCGAGCCUUACAUGGGGCA
Molecule: non-coding RNA, 73 nt
Organism: Danio rerio (zebrafish)
Lineage: Eukaryota; Metazoa; Chordata; Actinopteri; Cypriniformes; Danionidae
Source: Rfam